CCCCUAGAUGUUCUGGGCCGCACGCGCGCUACACUGAACAGUUCAACAAGUCUUAACCUUGGCCGAAAGGUCUGGGUAAUCUCCAAAUUUCGUCGUGAUGGGGAUAGAUUAUUGCAAUUAUUAAUCUUCAACGAGGAAUGCCUAGUAAGCGCAAGUCAUCAGCUUGCGUUGAUUACGUCCCUGCCCUUUGUACACACCGCCCGUCGCUCCUACCGAUUGAAUGGUCCGGUGAAGCGUUCGGACCGUGGCCUUUGGACGGUUCGCCGUCUGUUGGCUGCGGGAAGUUCGUUAAACCUUAUCAUUUAGAGGAAGGAGAAGUCGUANCA
RNAcentral lists this ribosomal RNA (326 nucleotides) under uncultured eukaryote. Its description in RNAcentral is "partial 18S ribosomal RNA". It matches the Rfam family "Eukaryotic small subunit ribosomal RNA", at positions 1470 to 1796 of the family's 1831-position model. The record is from RNAcentral.